Molecule: ribosomal RNA, 296 nt
Filed under: uncultured bacterium
Lineage: Bacteria
Description: partial 16S ribosomal RNA
Rfam family: Bacterial small subunit ribosomal RNA
Source: RNAcentral
GGAUUAGAUACCCUGGUAGUCCACGCCGUAAACGAUGGAUGCUAGUUGUCGGGCAGCAUGCUGUUCGGUGACGCAGCUAACGCAUUAAGCAUCCCGCCUGGGGAGUACGGCCGCAAGGUUAAAACUCAAAGAAAUUGACGGGGGCCCGCACAAGCGGUGGAGCAUGUGGUUUAAUUCGAAGCAACGCGAAGAACCUUACCUGCGCUUGACAUCCCUAUCGCGAUUACCGGAGACGGUUUUCUUCAGUUCGGCUGGAUAGGUGACAGGUGCUGCAUGGCUGUCGUCAGCUCGUGCCG